CGGGGUGCUGCACCAGUGAGGAAUAUUGCACAAUGGGGGGAACCCUGAUGCAGCAACGCCGCGUGGAGGAUGACGCAUUUCGGUGUGUAAACUCCUUUUAUAUGUCAAGAAAAUGACGGUAGCAUAUGAAUAAGCACCGGCUAACUCCGUGCCAGCAGCCGCGGUAAUACGGAGGGUGCAAGCGUUACUCGGAAUCACUGGGCGUAAAGGACGCGUAGGCGGGUUGGAAAGUCAGGUGUGAAAUCCUACAGCUUAACUGUAGAACUGCACUUGAAACUUCUAAUCUAGAGUAUGGGAGGGGGAGAUGGAAUUAGUGGUGUAGGGGUAAAAUCCGUAGAUAUCACUAGGAAUACCUAAAGCGAAGGCGAUCUCCUGGAACAUUACUGACGCUAAGGCGUGAAAGCGUGGGGAGCAAACAGGAUUAGAUACCCGUGUAGUC
Molecule: ribosomal RNA, 439 nt
Filed under: uncultured bacterium
Lineage: Bacteria
Description: partial 16S ribosomal RNA
Rfam family: Bacterial small subunit ribosomal RNA
Source: RNAcentral